This 523-nucleotide ribosomal RNA is filed under the name uncultured bacterium. Its description in RNAcentral is "bacterial SSU rRNA". It matches the Rfam family "Bacterial small subunit ribosomal RNA", at positions 8 to 526 of the family's 1533-position model. The record is from RNAcentral.
AGAGUUUGAUCCUGGCUCAGAUUGAACGCUGGCGGCAGGCUUAACACAUGCAAGUCGAGCGGGGGAAGUAGCUUGCUACCGGACCUAGCGGCGGACGGGUGAGUAAUGCUUAGGAAUCUGCCUAUUAGUGGGGGACAACAUCUCGAAAGGGAUGCUAAUACCGCAUACGUCCUACGGGAGAAAGCAGGGGAUCUUCGGACCUUGCGCUAAUAGAUGAGCCUAAGUCGGAUUAGCUAGUUGGUGGGGUAAAGGCCUACCAAGGCGACGAUCUGUAGCGGGUCUGAGAGGAUGAUCCGCCACACUGGGACUGAGACACGGCCCAGACUCCUACGGGAGGCAGCAGUGGGGAAUAUUGGACAAUGGGGGGAACCCUGAUCCAGCCAUGCCGCGUGUGUGAAGAAGGCCUUAUGGUUGUAAAGCACUUUAAGCGAGGAGGAGGCUACUCUAGUUAAUACCUAGGGAUAGUGGACGUUACUCGCAGAAUAAGCACCGGCUAACUCUGUGCCAGCAGCCGCGGUAAUAC